GUGUCCGAGGCUGAAGAGGUCGAGGCACCGGGAUGUGGCCCCGGAGGAAGCGGGUUCGAGUCCCGCCGGACACCCCA
Molecule: transfer RNA, 77 nt
Filed under: Streptomyces sp. SID13031
Lineage: Bacteria; Bacillati; Actinomycetota; Actinomycetes; Kitasatosporales; Streptomycetaceae
Description: tRNA-His
Rfam family: tRNA
About the family: Transfer RNA (tRNA) molecules are approximately 80 nucleotides in length.
Source: RNAcentral